UACGUAGGGGGCGAGCGUUGUCCGGAUUUAUUGGGCGUAAAGAGCUCGUAGGCGGCUUGGCAAGUCGGGUGUGAAACCUCCAGGCUCAACCUGGAGACGCCACUCGAUACUGCCAUGGCUAGAGUCCGGUAGGGGACCACGGAAUUCCUGGUGUAGCGGUGAAAUGCGCAGAUAUCAGGAGGAACACCGAUGGCGAAGGCAGGUCUCUGGGCAUUAACUGACGCUGAGGAGCGAAAGCAUGGGGAGCGAACAGG
Molecule: ribosomal RNA, 254 nt
Filed under: uncultured bacterium
Lineage: Bacteria
Description: partial 16S ribosomal RNA
Rfam family: Bacterial small subunit ribosomal RNA
Source: RNAcentral